GCCAAUUAAUGAUUGGCACUGAACUGAGUUAUUACAAUUACAUAUUUAUACUAUAUAGACUGAAUAGAGUUGCACGAAAGUGAAGGUCCUGGAUGUUGUACAUAAUUUUAGUAUCUCGUUAUAAACUAAGCUUUGGUAUAUGUUGGGGUUUAGAUUCCUUGGUUCGCCCACUUAGGAGGUUAAGUGUGGGUGCCACUCACGACUCAUUUUGGGUCGUGACACAUUGUUUAGUGAUUUGAGUCUUUCUUAUCUGCAUAUUUUUCUUAAAAUUGUCAAUUAUCAAUUAUCAAUUAUCAAAUUAAUUGAUGAUAACUAUCAGAUCUUCUCAUCAAUGACAUAUUUAUCCAUAAUGAAAUGGUAAAUCAACAAUAUAUAUAGCUAUCAACGUUAAUAGAAAAAGAAACAGUAAGAUGGAAGCUACAUAUUUAACAGGUAAGUUAUAAGUUAUUUUCUCUUUUAUUAUUUUCUAUGAUUGGUCAUGAAAUUGUAUAUUUUUGGUUACUCAAUUUAUUUAUCAAGCAACACUCUUCACUAUUAUCCAGUAUGAAAUAUAGUAAAUAUUAGUAGAUAUCAUGAAGCUUUGCAGCUAUGAAUAACAGAUCUUUCUUAAUAUAUGCAUUUGUUGUUGUUGUUGUUGCUUAGUAAUAUUUUUG
This 653-nucleotide long non-coding RNA is filed under the name Solanum tuberosum (potato). Its description in RNAcentral is "long non-coding RNA (STUB_LNC000548)". Lineage: Eukaryota; Viridiplantae; Streptophyta; Magnoliopsida; Solanales; Solanaceae. The record is from RNAcentral.